AGUGAACGCUGGCGGUAGGCCUAACACAUGCCAGUCGAACGGCAGCACAGUAAGAGCUUGCUCUUACGGGUGGCGAGUGGCGGACGGGUGAGGAAUACAUCGGAAUCUACUUUUUCGUGGGGGUUAACGUAGGGAAACUUACGCUAAUACCGCAUACGACCUACGGGUGAAAGCAGGGGAUCUUCGGACCUUGCGCGAUUGAAUGAGCCGAUGUCGGAUUAGCUAGUUGGCGGGGUAAAGGCCCACCAAGGCGACGAUCCGUAGCUGGUCUGAGAGGAUGAUCAGCCACACUGGAACUGAGACACGGUCCAGACUCCUACGGGAGGCAGCAGUGGGGAAUAUUGGACAAUGGGCGCAAGCCUGAUCCAGCCAUACCGCGUGGGUGAAGAAGGCCUUCGGGUUGUAAAGCCCUUUUGUUGGGAAAGAAAAGCAGCAGGUUAAUACCCCGCUGUUCUGACGGUACCCAAAGAAUAAGCACCGGCUAACUUCGUG
This 492-nucleotide ribosomal RNA is filed under the name uncultured bacterium. RNAcentral's name for it is "partial 16S ribosomal RNA". It matches the Rfam family "Bacterial small subunit ribosomal RNA", at positions 29 to 507 of the family's 1533-position model. The record is from RNAcentral.